RNAcentral lists this ribosomal RNA (801 nucleotides) under uncultured bacterium. RNAcentral's name for it is "bacterial SSU rRNA". It matches the Rfam family "Bacterial small subunit ribosomal RNA", at positions 80 to 874 of the family's 1533-position model. The record is from RNAcentral.
UUGCUGCUUCGCUGACGAGUGGCGGACGGGUGAGUAAUGUCUGGGAAACUGCCUGAUGGAGAGGGAUAACUACUGGAAACGGUAGCUAAUACCGCAUAACGUCGCAAGACCAAAGAGGGGGACCUUCGGGCCUCUUGCCAUCGGAUGUGCCCAGAUGGGAUUAGCUAGUAGGUGGGGUAACGGCUCACCUAGGCGACGAUCCCUAGCUGGUCUGAGAGGAUGACCAGCCACACUGGAACUGAGACACGGUCCAGACUCCUACGGGAGGCAGCAGUGGGGAAUAUUGCACAAUGGGCGCAAGCCUGAUGCAGCCAUGCCGCGUGUAUGAAGAAGGCCUUCGGGUUGUAAAGUACUUUCAGCGGGGAGGAAGGCGAUAAGGUUAAUAACCUUGUCGAUUGACGUUACCCGCAGAAGAAGCACCGGCUAACUCCGUGCCAGCAGCCGCGGUAAUACGGAGGGUGCAAGCGUUAAUCGGAAUUACUGGGCGUAAAGCGCACGCAGGCGGUCUGUCAAGUCGGAUGUGAAAUCCCCGGGCUCAACCUGGGAACUGCAUUCGAAACUGGCAGGCUAGAGUCUUGUAGAGGGGGGUAGAAUUCCAGGUGUAGCGGUGAAAUGCGUAGAGAUCUGGAGGAAUACCGGUGGCGAAGGCGGCCCCCUGGACAAAGACUGACGCUCAGGUGCGAAAGCGUGGGGAGCAAACAGGACUAGAUACCCUGGUAGUCCACGCCGUAAACGAUGUCGACUUGGAGGUUGUGCCCUUGAGGCGUGGCUUCCGGAGCUAACGCGUUAAGUCGACCGCCU